RNAcentral lists this ribosomal RNA (191 nucleotides) under unidentified oil field bacterium DBAC28. Its description in RNAcentral is "partial 16S ribosomal RNA". It matches the Rfam family "Bacterial small subunit ribosomal RNA", at positions 707 to 896 of the family's 1533-position model. Lineage: Bacteria; Deltaproteobacteria. The record is from RNAcentral.
CACCAGUGGCGAAGGCGACUUUCUGGACCGAUACUGACGCUGAGGUGCGAAGNCGUGGGUAGCGAACAGGAUUAGAUACCCUGGUAGUCCACGCAGUAAACGAUGUUCACUAGGUGUAGCGGAUAUUAAAAUCUGCUGUGCCGCAGCUAACGCAUUAAGUGAACCGCCUGGGAAGUACGGUCGCAAGACUA